RNAcentral lists this unclassified non-coding RNA (349 nucleotides) under Basidiomycota sp. RNAcentral describes it as "partial contains small subunit ribosomal RNA, internal transcribed spacer 1, and 5.8S ribosomal RNA". The stretch from base 1 to 47 matches the Rfam family "Eukaryotic small subunit ribosomal RNA", at positions 1785 to 1831 of the family's 1831-position model. Lineage: Eukaryota; Fungi; Basidiomycota. The record is from RNAcentral.
AAAGUCGUAACAAGGUUUCCGUAGGUGAACCUGCGGAAGGAUCAUUAUCACGUUAUCCACGUAUCAACCAUUGUGAACCGUUUUUUACCUUUUGUCGAGAGUGAGGUUGCGGGAGAUGAGCUGGCUCGUUUAAUGAUUUUUGAGCUACACAAAGGCUUAUCUCUCCCAUGGAACUUAUCAAGCAAUUGAUGAGUACAUACUCGUUCACUUCAAAUUGUAUUUUUUCUAAAUCAUUGUUUAAACAAUUUUAACCACUUUGAACAUUGUCUUAUCUUUUUCAUACUCUUAACGGAGAUGAAAUUCAUUACGAAACAGAGAACAACUCUUAGCAACGGAUAUCUUGGUUCUC